This 1488-nucleotide long non-coding RNA is filed under the name Olea europaea subsp. europaea. The record is from RNAcentral. Lineage: Eukaryota; Viridiplantae; Streptophyta; Magnoliopsida; Lamiales; Oleaceae.
UUUUAAAACCAAACAAGCAUAUUUCAGGUUGGUUUUAUGAAGAUGGUGCAAUCUCUGGUUCUAUCUAGUCAAGUUCUGAAUUAUUAUUUGUUAACAAAUUUCUCUUUCUAAAAUAUGUUGCACUUCCAAGUAUUUCAGCAAAGAAAUCCCAAAUAAAAUAUUAUACCACAUCCUCUCCUUCAUCUCUAACCUUUUAACCAUUUACGCUACAACAUAUGAACAAUUGUUUUCCUUCUCCUCCUAGCGUGUAAAAUCCCUCAACAAGUUAUUUCUUAAUCAUUCCUUUUAUCAACAGCCUUUUUCAGUCAAAGGGGCAUAAAUGGGCUCAGGCCCAAUGUGUAAGCCUAUCGGCCUUAUGGAUGGGCAUACGAGUUGGCCCAUUUAUUAAUGCCUAAUUUACAUAGGUUAAGGCCCGUACCUUAGGGCCCAUCCCAACUUGCAAUAUUUUGUCACCAUUUUGCACUCUUCCAAUUCUUCAUGAAAAACCACGUUCAUACCUAAAAUGUAGGAAACUGAUUCCCAAUUCCAAACCUGUUGCAGUGUCAAUUUCUCUCAUCACCGACUCUUUCGAUGUCGGCAAACAAAGUUUUGAAAUUAAAAAUGCAAAGUGGUUCGUUUGAUUUUUCAAAUUAGAACUACAUAUUAAUUUAUAUAAUUAAAUAAAUUAGUUUACUUCUGAGAUGAUAAAGAUUAAUUUUAAAAUUAAAUCUUAACAAAAUGAGUAAAAAUCAAAUCCAAAUUGAUCAUUGAAUACCUUAAAACGAUUCAGUAGCAAUGUUUUGUAGCAUCACUUGAGAUCUUAUCUCUCAGUCCAAGUGUUGGAAAUUUAAAUAUUGCUUCAUCCUCAUCAAUUUGAUAACCAGAAAACAAUUCUAAGAAUAAUAUGUAAAAAAUAUAAAUGGGAAAAAUUAAUUAAAUUUUGAGUAAAAAAUAUAAAAUUUAUGUAGAAAAGAAGAACGCGAUUGGGGGGUAAGCAGAUUACUCAGUGGCAAUUUUAAGUUUUAGGUUCGAUUCUGCCAGCAAAGCGUCCUCAAAUUUGAAUUCAGAAGAGGGAGCUUUUUAUCCUCAUCGUAAAUUUCAAUUUCCCCACACAAUCUUCAAACGCAAAUCAAAAUAUGAAUUUCCCAAAAUCUACCAAAAAUACAAAAAUAGAGAGAAGAAAAAGAUAUAUAGGAAGAGGAACGCUCGGUUCAGCGGGAUAAUCGACAUGCAAGCAAUCAUCUCAAGAAGAGAGACCUGCAAUCCGGUCUGUUGAGCUUGAAAUUUGGAAGUCGUCACUGCGAUUCUCCCUUCGAUUUAAUUAAACAUUUAAAGAAAAUCAAACUGAAAAUGUAAAAUCAAAAGAGAAAAGAAAACGAAAAUUAAAAUACCAUAUCAUCCUAAAAACUGCGUGAAUGCAGCAGCAGCAGUAGUCUUUAUGAACAUUUAUAUAGAUAAGAAUUAGGGUUUUGUUCAACACAAGACUCCAGCAUUUUCUUGGGCUUUCUG